AAAUCUUGGAGAAGUCUCCAUUCUGGGAACCUCCUCCUUCUCAUCUAUGGAGAGGAAAGAAGGAUCCCUGGAGUGAGAUAAAGAAAAUAUAGAAAAGUAAGGGAGUGUCUUCACAUCCCAGCAGGGCACGUGGAGGAGGAGGAGGUGUUGACUAUGGACAGCAAGAAGAAACAUCACCAUCACAAAACACCCACCCAGGACAGGGGCCCUUUCAACAAGGAGCAUAAGAGACUGUUUCUGCCUCUGAUAGAAGCCCAGCAUUUUGUUUUUCUCCACAUAUUUUAAUCAAUAUUUACCAAGCCAUAACAAUCUGGCUUUCACUGUCACCCUGGGGUUGAGUUUCAUGAGUAACUACCUUUUCCACUGGCUGCAGAAAUAAUGACUCCAUAUAUGAUUGGCAGAAGGUCAUUGAUUUGAGCAUAGGAAAAUGAGCAGUUUCAAGAAAAAAGCUGGCAUUUCUGCAUGAGUGAAUCAGUGCAAAUCUA
This 485-nucleotide long non-coding RNA is filed under the name Pongo abelii (Sumatran orangutan). RNAcentral describes it as "lincRNA". The record is from RNAcentral. Lineage: Eukaryota; Metazoa; Chordata; Mammalia; Primates; Hominidae.